GGCUGAUUUAAUUUGAUCUUCUUCUAGAAUCAUCUCAGACCCUUCCGAGGUUGAAGAUGGAUUAAUGGAGGUUGUGGGACAUUGGAAAAAAAUCAGAGAAAACACCUUUUCUCUGAUCUAAACCAUCUCUCCCAAAAAUUAUUCAACACCAAUGCUAAACUCUUAUCAGAGAAGAGACGGUCUCUUCUAAUCACACGCUAAAUCAAUGGCAACCCACCCCAGAUCCUCAUGCCCCCAAAUAAGGUUCGGCCCCUCUUUCUUUCAGAUAUCUCAUGGUGAGAAAAACGCUAGGUUUUUGUUACACAAAAACAAAAGGAAGUUAUAGAGUGGCCGGCCAAGGGGUUUAAGGAUAAGGAACUAGAAUUUGGGAUCAAAUUGAAUUCAAAGUUCAACUUAAUUCAAACUCAAAUAAACCAAUUUGCCCAUAAAUCUUUUCCAUGGUGAGAAACAAGUUUUUCUCAUGGACUUUUGGA
RNAcentral lists this long non-coding RNA (473 nucleotides) under Elaeis guineensis (African oil palm). RNAcentral's name for it is "long non-coding RNA (EGUI_LNC024575)". Lineage: Eukaryota; Viridiplantae; Streptophyta; Magnoliopsida; Arecales; Arecaceae. The record is from RNAcentral.